UCCAAUAUGGCGGCGAUUAGUUGCGGAGGAGGAUAAGUUAUUCUAAAUUGCCCCUGAUGUGACUUGGUUCAACAGGAAUAUGCUAUUUACUAUACAUAGUCGUUCGUGAAACUAGAUCCAGUAAAACCUAUAGAUCAAUCUGAAUUUUGUAAGAAUAAGGCAAUUUAACAGGUGAUGCGUGAGGCUGCUACAGCAACGAGAGUCGACUUGGUGUUCCGUGUCUGUUAGCAAGGUAGCUAGCUAGCUAGCGCUGAAGCAGACGUAGCUAGCUAGCUAACGGACUACAGGAUUUGUGGGAGUAGCAUGAGAGUUAAUGAAUUUAAUAUAGCUAACUGGCUUAAAUAAUACGCCAUAGUAGUCACAUUCUUUUAGAUUUUUCGGUAGCUAGUACAUUCAGUAAAAUGAUCUAACGUUAUAUGAGUCACUACCUCGCAAGCUAACUGGAUUGGCUAACCCUAGCUAGCUAUAUAUUUAUCUAGCUAGCAUAUACGUUAUCUUGUUAGAUGACCAAGUUACUUAGUUAGCUAGCUAGCUAGCUAGCUAGCUAUCUACCUCCAGGCAUAGUUGUGCUAACAAGCUAGUAUGGUGACCAAACAUUGUAUAUUUUGUAUGGCUGGUUGAUCAGUAAAUGGCAUUAGCCUUACUCAGUAGAUGGUCUUGGGGAUAGUAGCUAGCUAAUUAUGUUUUCGAGACUCGGGAUUUAUAACUUAGCAGUGUGUAGCUAGCUAGGAUACAUAUCCUUCUGUGGGGAGUGGUAGGCUGCAACUAAAUCUGCAGCGUAGGUUUUAGUGGAUACGAUUAGCUAUCUUAGUCAAAUUAGCAAACUGCAGUUGGCCUUAGUUCGCAAAGCAUUUUGAGACGGUGCGUUGCAUGUCCUAAAUGUACUUCAGUGGUCUGCGGUAAUCAAAGUCGAGAAACCGCUUUACUCCAAAUAAGGACUGUUGUUAGUUAGCUGGCUAGCUAGCAUAGCUAGCAAGGUGUCGCUGGAAUGCUGAUUUGUGCUGAGAUUCCCUGACCCAACAGGUUAUUAGUACUAGCUAACUAUCCUGUCUGAAUUGAAACGGAUUGUUUUUGGCUUGUAUCUGAAAUUUGAAGAGGAAAUUGUACAAGGAACGUCAUUUUGACCUAUAGUUUUAGCGUGGCAUUUGAAGCAAAAGUGAUGUAUUUUUAUGUGAAUGUGAAGCUUCAGUUUUGCGCCUUUGGGUUUGUUUGACAUGGUGGAUUUGCAAGACGUCAGAGGCUUGUAGCGUGUACAUAGGUCUUGGACAUUAUGUAGUCAGUUCAGAAAUAGCGUCUGUUGGGUUCUAAAUUGGCUUUAUUACAAUGUGCAUUUGUCUGCUUUCCACGAAAAAAUACGACAUCGACUGCUUCAUUAAAAGAUAGGUAUUUGAACGGUUUGUCAUUCUGGAUCAAGAAACACUGCCUUUCGUCUCUGGUUGGAGUAAUACUCCCAAGCCAUCAUCAAUGCCUUCAGCACUGGCCGUAUUUACUUGCCGCCCGAAUUCACACCCAUUUCAGGAACGCCAUGUCUACCUGGAUGAGCCUGUCAAGAUUGGGCGAUCUGUGGCUCGCUGUCGCCCUGCCCAAAACAACGCAACAUUCGAUUGCAAGGUGUUGUCAAGAAACCAUGCUCUUGUCUGGUUCGACCACAAAACAGGGAAGUUCUAUCUCCAGGACACCAAGAGCAGCAAUGGCACUUUCAUAAACAGCCAGCGCCUGAGCCGCGGCUCAGAGGAGAGCCCCCCAUGUGAGGUGCUGUCCGGUGACAUUAUCCAGUUCGGAGUGGAUGUGACCGAGAACACCCGCAAAGUCACUCAUGGAUGUAUAGUGUCAACCAUCAAGCUCUUCCUACCAGAUGGCAUGGAAGCUCGUCGACGAUCGGAUGUUAUUCAAGCACCACUACCACUGCCUGUUGAUAAGGUUACUGCAAAUAUGCCCAGUAUGUACUCUCAGGAACUUUUUCAGCUCUCCCAGUACCUGCAGGAGGCCUUACAUAGGGAGCAGAUGCUGGAACAGAAGUUGGCCACACUGCAGCGGCUACUAGCCAGCACACAGGAGGCCUCUGAGAGUAGCUGGCAGGCUUUAAUUGAUGAAGACCGGUUACUUUCUCGAUUGGAAGUGAUGGGGAACCAGUUGCAGGCAUACUCAAAAAACCAAACUGAAGAUGGCAUCCGAAAGGAACUUGUUGCCUUAACAGAAGACAAACUUAAUUAUGAGACAAGAGCCAAAGAGUCCCUGAGGCGAGUUCUUCAGGAGAAGAUUGAGGUGGUCCGGAAACUGUCGGAAGUGGAGAGGAGCCUUAGCAACACAGAGGAUGAGUGCACGCACCUGAAGGAGAUGAAUGAGCGUACGCAAGAGGAGCUCGGGGAGCUUGCUAACAAGUACAAUGCCGCUGUGAACGAGAUCAAGGACCUUACUGAUAAGAUCAAGCUGGUGGAAGGCAAGCAGGAGGAGCUCACUCAGAAGGGCCUGAAUGAGAAGAAGGAGCUACAGCUCCGAAUUGAGGAGAUGGAAGAGAAGGAGCAGGCUCUGCAGGCCCGCAUCGAAGCCCUGCAGGCAGACAAUGACUUCACCAAUGAGAGACUUGCUGCCCUGCAAGUCAGGUUAGAGCAACUGCAGGAGAAAAGCCUAAAGGAAAACAACAGUUUAGCUGUGAAGCAGCUAAAAGGAGCCAUGGAUUCUUCUAUUCACAGGCUAUCCAACUUUGAUGAUGUCAUAGAUGCACAUCUUCAAAACAAUCAGACCACAGAUGACAACAGCCUGACCAGUCCCGACAAACUAAAAGAACAUCAAAUUGAUGCUAAAGAGUCUGAUAUGUCAGACACGCUUAGCCCGAGCAAGGACCGAAGCAGUGACGACACUUCAGACGGACAAAUGGAUGAGCAAGAUCUUAAUGAGCCCCAGAACAGAGUUUCUAUGCUUAGAGACGAGCUGCAGAGUGCUAACCUGAAGCCUGGAGACACAGAGCAGGUCAUCCAUCACUUGCACAGAGAGCUACUGGAGGCCCAGGAGCUCGCCAACACCGGCAAGCAGAAAUGUCUUGAGCUACAAGCUCUACUUGAGGAAGAGAGGAGAGCUAACCGGCAGCAGACCGACGAGUCUGCCAAGCAGAUCCAGUACCUACAGAGCCAGCUAGCUAAGCUGCAGUCAGAUAUGGAGGCACUGCGUGAGCAGCGUGAGAGCACUAUUUCCAGCACACGUGAGGAACUCUGCAGCGCCCAGGAAGAGGUGCUUGUCUUGCGCCAUGCCAUGGAGGCUGCCAUGGCUGAGAGGGAACGUGAGAUUGCCACCCUGCAGGGAGACCUGGCUGUUGUUACAGCUGAACUCGAGAAGUGGCGGAAGAUGGCUGCCGAGUAUGAGCAGGAAAUCGGGGCCCUGCAGGCCAGCUUCCGGCUCCAAAGCGAGCACCAGGAGCGUGCCAACCACUUGCAAGACGAGCUGGAGAAGCUGCAGGCUGAGGGCUUGUGCUUGCAGAAAGAGUGUGAGUGUCUACGCUCUGAAAAGGCCAUCCUUCUGGAGAAAUUGCACAGUCUGGAGGUGGAGCUAGACAGCUCCAGAGAGCAGAGUGCUACAUUAAGUAGCAGCCUGAACGCUCUGGAGAAAUCGCAGGGUGACCUGGAAAGCAAGCUGGGCUCCAUGCAGGACCAGCACCAGCAGAGUGCCUGCAGGCUGAAGGUACAACUGACACAGGCUGAGGACCGCACCAAGAGUCUACAGAAAGAGUAUGAGGACACUCAGAGCCAGCUAUCAGAUCUGCGGCAGAGGUAUGACCGCACGGAGGAGGAGAAGCGGUCCAUCCACCAUGAGCUGGAGCAGUGCAAAGUCAGCCUGAAGCUGCUGCAGGAGAAGGGCCAGAAUAGUGGCUGGAUGCCCUGGAUGCCAAUGGUUGCUGUGAUGGUCGCUGUGUCGGCAGUGGUGUUGUACCCCUGCUUAUCUAAGAGCACCUCUUGAGAUAAAUAACCAGUCACAACACCCAUUCCUACCACCUUCUCCUGUGACCUGGACAACAGUGUGGCCCAUCGCCUAGACCCCGUGUCAGUUAAUAAAUUGGAUACGACAGCUUUGAGCGGGCAAAAAAGUGCUAAACUGUGCAGUGUCACUACUUGAAACAUGUUCAGUAAUUACUUUUUAUGGUGAAGGAAAUAGAAGGGUUAAUUUGUUUAUUGCUUUCAGACUGGAAUCAAUGAAUGGAAAUGAGCAGUGUAUGUGUUGGAGAGAAUCACUGAUCUGUGUGUUGCUGGUUCACAUUGCUGCGCUGUAAAUAAACUCAGUCAUGGAGCAACAGCUUAAUCUCUUCACCUUUUUAGUAAAGUUAUUGCUAUUUUUUCAGUCACAGCCAACUUUAAAAAAAAUAAAUAAAUAAAACUUCAGAAAUUAAGACAAAUGCAAAGCAUGGUGUAGCAUAGGGGUUAAUUGAAAAUUUCUCAAGAGCAUCAGAACACGUUCUUGAGCAUGCUUUUGUUGUGAAUGUGGACUUUUAAUAUUCUUUGCGCUGCUAGAAAGAAAGUUAAGGAGACUCCAUCUAGGCAUUUUAUUUCUAUGAAUGUAUGUGUAUAUAAAUACAUAAUGCAUAAUAUUACAUACAUGGUAUUCAAAAAAUAAAGUUGAAUAUCAGUGACACUGGUCCCAUCCAGCGCUUGUUGCAGUCAGUUUUCAGUGACUGAGUGGGCCUUUAGUUGAGACCUAUUUUGGUUUGAGGAAACUUCACAAAAUUGAUCAUUUUAGUUUUGUCACCAAUUCUUAUUUUUUCCCCACCUAAUCUGUGCUUUUUUCAGUAAAUCAGUUAUUAUACUUUCAAAGAAAAUAUUAUUUCUGAUCAUUCACAUCCAGUGCAUGUUUUUCACCUAGAAAAGUUUGCUGAACAGAGGUAUUGUUUAUAAAAAUGUUAGUCAGGCUAACAUAAAUGGUCUCGUAGUACACUAGCUAAAUAUGCUAGUUAAAAAGAAGUUACAUAUCAUUUUCAUAGACAGGUUAAAGACUUGUAGUGUAGUGUACUGUCUAAUUCUGGAAUGUGUUUUCUGAUUUUGGAGUAUGUAGCUUAUACUAUUUUAGAGUUUUGUCUGCGCACAUUAAUGAAUCAAUGUAACUACCAUGGUGAUAUUCCAGAACUAUUAGGCCAAAGGAAUUUAAAAGGGGGAGGUCCUGGGCUUGGGGUAUAGGAUCUACAAACUGCCCAGUUACAACAAGCAAGCCAGUUGGUACACAGCAUUCUGCCUGUAAAUAAUUUUGUUUGCAAAUAUUGUUUUGAGAAGCAAGAGUUCAGAAUUACUUUUCUUAAUUGUUCAAAUUCUAUUUUGUAAAGAUUGUCAAGUUAUUAUAGUUUCUGGCAAACGGAUAAAUAUUUGCACUAACAUGAUGUGCAUGGUUUUAAUAAAACAACUUUUAACUCUCCUC
This is a non-coding RNA of Electrophorus electricus (electric eel), 5394 nucleotides long. NCBI's taxonomy places the organism in Eukaryota, Metazoa, Chordata, Actinopteri, Gymnotiformes, Gymnotidae. The record is from RefSeq and is a predicted model, not a curated record.